UCAGCAACAUUGAGGAGGUCAUUACAAAGUUUUCUCAAUUGACUCCACAGGAGAGGGCAAAAAGGAAACUCGAAAGCCUUGAAGCGCUGAAGAAAACGUUUAAGAAGUUAGACCA
Molecule: non-coding RNA, 115 nt
Organism: Cucurbita pepo subsp. pepo (vegetable marrow)
Lineage: Eukaryota; Viridiplantae; Streptophyta; Magnoliopsida; Cucurbitales; Cucurbitaceae
Source: RefSeq, a predicted model, not a curated record